This 130-nucleotide small nucleolar RNA is filed under the name Castor canadensis (American beaver). RNAcentral's name for it is "Small nucleolar RNA SNORA51 (ENSCCNG00000000013.1)". It matches the Rfam family "Small nucleolar RNA SNORA51". Rfam says of the family: ACA51 is a member of the H/ACA class of snoRNA that guide the sites of modification of uridines to pseudouridines. The record is from Rfam by way of RNAcentral. Lineage: Eukaryota; Metazoa; Chordata; Mammalia; Rodentia; Castoridae.
GGCUUCCUGGUGCUUACCACAGGCCAUUCUCACACUGACUGGAUACAAAGAGGCGGCAAAGUAAGCCUACCCCAUAUACACCUCAGCCCAGGGCCUCUGCCUGGUCUGUAUUGAGAAUGGGGGAAAAAAU